UUACUAGAGUAGCACUCGCAUAUCAAUAAGCGGAGGAAAAGAAACUAACAAGGAUUCCCCUAGUAACGGCGAGUGAAGCGGGAAGAGCUCAAAUUUGAAAUCUUAAAGGGUUUCCCUUUACGAAUUGUAGUUUAAAGAAGUGUUUUCUGUUGAGGUUUUGGUAAAAGUUCUUUGGAAUAGGACAUCAUAGAGGGUGAGAAUCCCGUAUUUGACCUUUACUUUCAACUUUGUGAUACACUUUCAAAGAGUCGGAUUGUUUGGGAAUGCAGUCCAAAAUGGGUGGUAAAUUUCAUCUAAAGCUAAAUAUUGGCGAGAGACCGAUAGCGAACAAGUACCGUGAGGGAAAGAUGAAAAGAACUUUGAAAAGAGAGUUAAACAGUACGUGAAAUUGUCAAAAGGGAAGCGUUUGACACCAGUGUUGUUUUUCUGAAAAUCAAUUAAAGAACUGUUUAUGCUAAGUUGUUUAGACUUUAUCAGCUAUCUGUUUAGUUUUGAGCUUUUCUUUAAUGCACUUUUCAGUUAACAGGUCAACAUCAAUUUCUUUUGCUGUAAAAAAGCUUGAGGAAGGUGGCUUGAGAUUCGUCUUAAGUGUUUAUAGCCUCUUGCCUAUGCAGUCGGAGAGAUUGAGGUCUGCAGCGUAGAUCCUUCGGGGCUAAAUGCAUUUGUGCUAAGUUAUAGCAUUUUAUAGACAACUUGUUGACUAUGAUUUGUCUUGUAGCUUACUCGCUUAUGUUAUUUUACCUACGCUUAGGAUGUUGAUCUCUCACAGUCGAGC
RNAcentral lists this ribosomal RNA (775 nucleotides) under uncultured Neocallimastigales. RNAcentral's name for it is "partial large subunit ribosomal RNA". It matches the Rfam family "Eukaryotic large subunit ribosomal RNA", at positions 1 to 645 of the family's 3401-position model. The record is from RNAcentral. Lineage: Eukaryota; Fungi; Neocallimastigomycota; Neocallimastigomycetes; Neocallimastigales.